This 5731-nucleotide long non-coding RNA is filed under the name Sus scrofa (pig). RNAcentral describes it as "lncRNA (ENSSSCG00025069764.1)". Lineage: Eukaryota; Metazoa; Chordata; Mammalia; Artiodactyla; Suidae. The record is from RNAcentral.
UUUUUUUUUUUUUCUUUUUAUGGCCACACCUAUGGCAUAUGGACAAUCCCAGGCUAGGGGUUGCAUCAGAGCUGCCUGCCGCUGCAGGCCUGUGCCAUAGCCACAGCAACACCAGAUCCAAGCUGCAUCUGCAACCUGUGCCACAGCUUGUGGCCGUGCUGGAUCCUUAACCCACUGAGCAAGGCCAUCCUCACAGAGACUGUCAGGUUCUUAACCUGCUGAGCAACCAUGGGAACUCCACGUGUAACUCACGUGUCGGGGAAGGAAGUGCACUGAUUCUAGCCUGAGUCUUACAUCCAGCUCUUGAGUGGAUCGUUCUGCAAGUAUAAAUUCUAUGAACAUGGGCCUCUCAUGGUCGAGCUCAACGUUUCUGUCCACGUAGACAGAUUCCAGAAAGUUAUAACUAAACAGUGGGGACAUUACUAUGUGUAGCAAUGCAUUGCCAUAGAAAAUGACAUUCUUUAGCACAGUAAUUUCCAGUUCAAAGCAAGACAAAUGGACAUUCCACUUGUGGCCCAAACAGUCGGCAUUGACCUCUCCAGUAGGAUUAAUAGGAGGUGAGUAGGGCACCAACUUGAAAUGCAAUUUGCGUUUCAUUAUCUAACAAUAUGGGGGUGAUUCUAAUCUGUCAUUCAUAAAUACGUACUUUUUGAGGUUUAAACACAACACAGAAAAUAUUUAAAUAUUUAUCUGGGGAAUUGGAUUAACCCAAGAGGAAAAAAAAAAUAUCUAAGACUGGUACUAGGCAUUCACUAAUAAACAUUCACAAACAACACAAUAAUAGAAUGACACUUUCAUUUCCUGGAAUGUUAUAAUUUGGGGGGAAAGAAUAAUUAAGACUAUGGUGGACUUUUGGAUAUCUAAGAUUUUGUGGUUGUAAUCUUUGUUCACAGUGUUGAGUCAAGAGGUUUUGAUCAGUGGAGUGAGAAGAAAGUGGUGCCAGAGAGCAAUGAAUUUGAUAGUAGUCAGAGUAACAAUUGACAUUCACUGUAUUUAGCUCUCAGACUUGCCCUUAGUUUAUCCUUUUACUGAAAACUUUGGUAUUUAAAUGCUUAGGAUUAUAUUUACUAUUUAGUUCUUCCAUGCAAAAUGUGCUUUCAAUUUUUUUUUUUAAAUAAAAAAAGCCAUGUUCAUUUUUAGGUAGGUAUACAAUUUUUGAAUGACUACAGAGAUCUGAAAUGAUCAAGGAAACCUCCUCGUUUGAGAAUCUGGUCCAUUAUUAAUAACUUCGGUAUCACAUUUAAGAAAGAGGAGCCUCUUUAUAUCACCAAAGUAAAAUUCGCAGCAACACUGAACAGUCAGGGAAGACUUUAUUCUAGGCUAUUACAAAUAUGAGAGAGAGACCAGAACUAAGUCUGAGUUCAACUCCACUAAAACACAGAGCACGAGGAUUGUUAAGGGCUAGAGUUGGAGGGAACAUUCAAGUCAUCUGUGUUUCUCAGUCGGAUUUACCCAAAGGAAAAGUAAACGCUUAUCUUUGGGACAGGAGGUUGUUUUAUAACUAGGAACAAAGCACAUAUCAAAAUUAGGCUCUUACCGUCUCAUAGCAACUGUGGAAUGUAGAGAUGCUGUCUGUUUCCCUUAAUGUUUUCAUUCUAAGAGAGAGGUUGUAGAACUGCCAAGAGACUUUAUUUAUUUAUUGGGGGUGCUGCCCCACAGCAAGUGGAGCUUCUGGGCCAGGGAUCAGAUCUGAGCCACAGCUACAACCUACAUCACACCUGUGUUAACACUGGAUGCUGAACCCACUGUGCCUGGCUGGGGAUUGAACCUGUGUCCUGACAUGGCAGAGACUCCACCAAUCCGAUUGUGCCACAGUAUGAACUCCACCAAGAGACUUGAUAGAUUUCUCUUCCAAAGGGGCAGGAAAUAAUUGUACAGGUACAAGUUUUUUAACCUACAUACUCUAGAAAAGAGAGGCCAGGUGCCUAGAGCCAAGAGUAAAGUUUGGGCAAGCUGAGGGUAAUGUUAAGACCAUUAUUUGCUUCUUUGUAAAUAUAUUUAAGUUUCUUCUAAAGUAUGAAAGCAGUCAGAGAGGAGUGGCAUAUGAGAAUUGUAGGGAAAAAUAGAAUCACUAAGGUGUGUAUGUGUGUGUGUGUGACUGAUUUAAAGGAAUAGCUCAUGGAACUGUGGGAGCUGGCAAGUCUAAAAUUUGCUGUGCAAACUGGAGACCCAGAGACGAGUUGAUGUUGAGCUCAAGCAGGCUAUCUGCUGGCCAAACCCCUUCUCCUUCAGGGGACCUCAGGCUUUUGCUCUUAAGGUUUUCAACUGAAAGAGGCCGCCCACUCACAUCAUGGAGGAUAAUCUACUUUACUCAAAUUCUACUGAUUUAAAUUUUAAUCUCACCUGAAAAUUAUCUUCAUAGCAGCAUCUAGACUAAUGCUUAACCAAAUAUCUGACUACCAUGACCUAGCCAAGUUGACACAUCAAAUUAAUCCUCACAGGCAGUGCGCCUGGUAUACGGAAAAACCCUUGCCAGGGCCAUAUGGAAUUUGGACACUGUGUUUCUGAAGAGUCUGAGAAACAUUCCUCCACUACUUUUAUUGAAUAAAUCAGUUACCUAAUGGGGGAAAAUUCCAAUAACUUGACAUCAGGUAGGUUCUUGUGAACUUUUAUAGUUUCAAAGAAGCAGAAACGAUCCUAACUUUUCUUUUCUGGAUAAUGAAGUUGACUUUGAAAUAUAUGAGUAUCAGAAGAGUGCCCUGAGGCAAAGAAGAUACGGCUUUUUAAGAAAAGGCUUCAAUUUGAGAAGCAAGAACCAUGCUCUCCAUGGCCGGAUAGGUUUCUCCUUCUCUUAGAGCCUUUAUUAUCGUUCACUCUGCAGUUCUGAGGAGUCUACAAAUGAACGAUGCCUCCUAACAAUCUGCGACAGAUUCUUGGAAACAUACUUGGUAUUUAAUCACUUGUCAGCGAUCGAGAAUGUGCAUAAUAUCAAUUAUUACUCUACUGUUCAGAGGCUGCACCCUAUUUUUCCUAUUCCGCAUCCUUCCUCGUUUUUAAUUCUUUAGUAUCAAAGAGGAGCAGAGCAUGCCACUUGAAAAUGGCACUUUUGCCUAAGGAUCAUUUUGAGCUGAAGGCAACUGAGAAGAAGCAGAUACAAGAAAAACUGUGUUCCUCUUAUUUGCCAGAAAGCAAGACAUAAAUUUGUAAAGGUAUCCUAUUGCCCCUCUACCAGGAAGGGCAGAAGUAAAUCACCUAGGACAACCCUAGACCUUCAUCAGCCCAGAGAUAACGCCAGAGGAAUCUACACAAAAAACAUGAUGAAUCACCCUUAUUUCCCCCAUCUAUUUACCGGCUCACAAUUUGUUGCCUUCGAGACUCAAAGUCUUUUUCCUUUUUCUUGUCUCAAAAUGCGUUGUCCUUUUGUUAAGAUGCCAUGUAAGCCUGAGUUCUAACCACCCCUUUGAGUUGCUCAUCACAGAGUGUGUCCAUCCAUAUGGGAGGCACACAUGUUAAUACACUUAUCUUUUUCUCCUGUUGAUUUGUUUUGGCAGGGCCUCAGCCAGAGAACCUAGGAGGGUAGAGAUGAAAAGUUUUUUUUUUUUUCCUUUCCCACAAUAAUAAAGCUUGCUGUUGUAAGUAUUAUAUUUUUCUUCACCUGAAAUAUUUCUCUUUUUCCCCCUACCCAUAUAGAAUGCUAAAUAGUUGAUUCUUUGAGUUCACAAAGAUGCCUAUUUCCUAAAUUAUAAAACCUUCUGAAUGGUACAAUUCUUUGUAGUUUUAUAACUACUUUUUCAGAAAAAGUAGAUGGUAGGAUCAAACCUUAUUUUGCGUCUUAAAACUAAAAGACAUUUAAUGUAUAUAUCUGUGCAAAUACGUAAAACUGUGAAGUAUAAUAAUUUAAUGAUAAAAACAAAGUCAGGGUCAACGCAAAGAGUGGACUUUAAAAGUACUAUGUGAUUUCUUGAACUGAAUUAAAGGUACCUAGGUUUUUCUUUUAUUAUUGCUCUUAUACUUCAAAUAUAACUGAUUAUAUAUACACCUAUAAAACAUUUUAUAAGUUUAUACAUAUGUAUGUAUGCACAUAGGGUAUCUAUGUGUCUAUAUAAUUUGUUAAGACUUCAACUUGUGGUGGCUGAAUUCUGAUUUAGAUUGAGCAUGGGCUAUUACUCUCCUUUGAGAUUAUCUUCUUUAGUCAUUUUUACACAUUGUUUAUGUAACUCAUGGAUUGAAUUGCUUUUGAAAUAGACUCCUUCCGACUUAAUUUAGUUGGAAAUAAACACUUGUCACAAUAUGAUGUCAUAUUACUUCUCUAAGAUCAAUCUACUAGAAACCUUUAAGUUAUAAUUGUGUAAAAGGAAAAAUUUCCCUUGCAGCAGCACUUAUCUAGGAGGUAUCAAAAUGAAAACUGUUUCACUAAAAUUCUAACCAAUUAGCAUUGUUAAGGAAUCAGAAACUGUGAGUGACCCCAUGUAGCCUGACAUUUUCCUGCCUGGAGGCUCUCACCUGACCAAUGAGAAGCAAUGCCAUUUGUUUUAACUAAUCAUGAACAGACCUAUGGAUGAAUCUGGAAGGAUAGUUUUCAAUCCUUAAUCAGAAUACCCACUGUGAAAUCUUUUCCAAACGCUCAAAACCCAGGACUUUCCCCUCAUCUAACUACUUAGGGAAAAUUCUUCACUGGUAUGUUUUGGAAGCUGACAAACCCAACUUAAAAAAAAAAAAAAUAGUCUUUUGUGCUGGCUCCAGUAGAUAUUGAUUUAAUUUAUUGUUUAUUUAAAUCUGAAAAUACGCUUAUAAGAAUGAAGCUGAAGGUAUAUAUUGGUUUGUAUUUUAUCUGCUAUUAACUCUUGUGAUAACCUUAUCUUUUUUCAUAGUUUCUUGAAACGACUGUCCUAUCUCUGGGAUUUUUAUAUCCAUACAAAUGCAGAAAGUGCAUUUUUUUCCCUUUCUUUUACCUCCUUUUAUUUUCUUUUUUCAUGUCUAAAAUACUAGUGGUUUGCAGAUGAGGUUUGUUUACUUGUUUGUUGUGGUUGUUUGAGCUUCUUGAAAAAUUCCUUGCCAAAACCUUGGUUUCAUCCUCUGCUGCACAGAACACACAUCACGAAUGUAUCCAACUGAGCUCCGUUAUGUCAGACAAAGCAAAGGGAGCUUAGGAAGUGCUUUUUUAAUCUACACCUGCCUCUCCAAGAAAGGAAAUAAAUUGGCAUAUUCUUUUCCUGGAUUCCCUGUUGGCUCUGUGGGGCUGUGUGGGAAUGUGGUUGUAUUUUCUUAACAAACUGGUCCUCCAUCCUCCAGCAGAAUUGGGUGAACUACAACCAUCAUUGUUUCCAUUUCAUUUCACGCCCAUAAAAAUGAAUUUGCUGGAGUUCAGUGGCUGUAGGCUCAGAACAUUUGCAGUAUAUUUGGGAUGGAGUGUAAGCUCUCUUCACUCUUUUUAUUCUUAUUUUAUUAAAGAACAUUAACGCAUGAUGGAAGAAGGUAAAGAAAAAUGUUCAGAAUCUCAUCACAAAUUAUUUUCAAAUUUCUUUCAACACCAAGCUCACAUGCUAAUUUUAUACAGCUGUCAUCAGUGCUUUUAUAUGAUCAUGUUGACAUAAGCAUUUUAGCUGUUAUCCUAUAAUAAUAUUGAGUGGAUUCAUAAUAUUAUACCAAGCAGACGAAGCAGCAUUUCCUAACCAUUCUUCCAUUCCGGAUAGUGGAAAUUUAGGUUGUUCCUAUUUAAAACAUUAAAAUCAACCUGUAGAUGACUAGUGAUAUAAAUUGACAAAUAAAUUUCAUAUGGUGGCAUUUCUGG